This 2913-nucleotide ribosomal RNA is filed under the name Klebsiella pneumoniae. RNAcentral's name for it is "23S ribosomal RNA". It matches the Rfam family "Bacterial large subunit ribosomal RNA". The record is from RNAcentral. Lineage: Bacteria; Pseudomonadati; Pseudomonadota; Gammaproteobacteria; Enterobacterales; Enterobacteriaceae.
GGGUUGUGAGGUUAAGCGACUAAGCGUACACGGUGGAUGCCCUGGCAGUCAGAGGCGAUGAAGGACGUGCUAAUCUGCGAAAAGCGUCGGUAAGGUGAUAUGAACCGUUAUAACCGGCGAUGUCCGAAUGGGGAAACCCAGUGCAAUUCGUUGCACUAUCGUUAACUGAAUACAUAGGUUAACGAGGCGAACCGGGGGAACUGAAACAUCUAAGUACCCCGAGGAAAAGAAAUCAACCGAGAUUCCCCCAGUAGCGGCGAGCGAACGGGGAGCAGCCCAGAGUCUGAAUCAGCUUGUGUGUUAGUGGAACGGUCUGGAAAGUCCGACGGUACAGGGUGAUAGUCCCGUACACCAAAAUGCACAGGUUGUGAACUCGAAGAGUAGGGCGGGACACGUGGUAUCCUGUCUGAAUAUGGGGGGACCAUCCUCCAAGGCUAAAUACUCCUGACUGACCGAUAGUGAACCAGUACCGUGAGGGAAAGGCGAAAAGAACCCCGGCGAGGGAGUGAAAAAGAACCUGAAACCGUGUACGUACAAGCAGUGGGAGCACCUUCGGGUGUGACUGCGUACCUUUGUAUAAUGGGUCAGCGACUUAUAUUCUGUAGCAAGGUUAACCGUAGUAGGGAGCCGCAGGAAACCGAGUCGUUAACUGGGCGUUAAGUUGCAGGGUAUAGACCCGAAACCCGGUGAUCUAGCCAUGGGCAGGUUGAAGGUUGGGUAACACUAACUGGAGGACCGAACCGACUAAUGUUGAAAAAUUAGCGGAUGACUUGUGGCUGGGGGUGAAAGGCCAAUCAAACCGGGAGAUAGCUGGUUCUCCCCGAAAGCUAUUUAGGUAGCGCCUCGUGAAUUCAUCUUCGGGGGUAGAGCACUGUUUCGGCUAGGGGGUCAUCCCGACUUACCAACCCGAUGCAAACUACGAAUACCGAAGAAUGUUAUCACGGGAGACACACGGCGGGUGCUAACGUCCGUCGUGAAGAGGGAAACAACCCAGACCGCCAGCUAAGGUCCCAAAGUCAUGGUUAAGUGGGAAACGAUGUGGGAAGGCACAGACAGCCAGGAUGUUGGCUUAGAAGCAGCCAUCAUUUAAAGAAAGCGUAAUAGCUCACUGGUCGAGUCGGCCUGCGCGGAAGAUGUAACGGGCUAAACCAUGCACCGAAGCUGCGGCAGCGACACUAUGUGUUGUUGGGUAGGGAGCGUUCUGUAAGCCUGCGAAGGUGACCUGUGAGGGUUGCUGGAGGUAUCAGAAGUGCGAAUGCUGACAUAAGUAACGAUAAAGCGGGUGAAAAGCCCGCUCGCCGGAAGACCAAGGGUUCCUGUCCAACGUUAAUCGGGGCAGGGUGAGUCGACCCUAAGGCGAGGCCGAAAGGCGUAGUCGAUGGGAAACAGGUUAAUAUUCCUGUACUUGGUGUUACUGCGAAGGGGACGGAGAAGGCUAUGUUAGCCGGGCGACGGUUGUCCCGGUUUAAGCAUGUAGGCUGAUUGUCCGUGCAAAUCCGGAUAAUCAAGGCUGAGGUGUGAUGACGAGGCACUACGGUGCUGAAGUAACAAAUGCCCUGCUUCCGGAAAAGCCUCUAAGCAUCAGGUAACAUCAAAUCGUACCCCAAACCGACACAGGUGGUCAGGUAGAGAAUACCAAGGCGCUUGAGAGAACUCGGGUGAAGGAACUAGGCAAAAUGGUGCCGUAACUUCGGGAGAAGGCACGCUGGUGUGUAGGUGAAGUCCCUGCGGAUGGAGCUGAGACCAGUCGAAGAUACCAGCUGGCUGCAACUGUUUAUUAAAACACAGCACUGUGCAAACACGAAAGUGGACGUAUACGGUGUGACGCCUGCCCGGUGCCGGAAGGUUAAUUGAUGGGGUUAUCCGUAAGGAGAAGCUCUUGAUCGAAGCCCCGGUAAACGGCGGCCGUAACUAUAACGGUCCUAAGGUAGCGAAAUUCCUUGUCGGGUAAGUUCCGACCUGCACGAAUGGCGUAAUGAUGGCCAGGCUGUCUCCACCCGAGACUCAGUGAAAUUGAACUCGCUGUGAAGAUGCAGUGUACCCGCGGCAAGACGGAAAGACCCCGUGAACCUUUACUAUAGCUUGACACUGAACAUUGAGCCUUGAUGUGUAGGAUAGGUGGGAGGCUUUGAAGCGUGGACGCCAGUCUGCGUGGAGCCAACCUUGAAAUACCACCCUUUAAUGUUUGAUGUUCUAACGUUGGCCCCUUACCGGGGUUGCGGACAGUGUCUGGUGGGUAGUUUGACUGGGGCGGUCUCCUCCCAAAGCGUAACGGAGGAGCACGAAGGUUAGCUAAUCCUGGUCGGACAUCAGGAGGUUAGUGCAAUGGCAUAAGCUAGCUUGACUGCGAGCGUGACGGCGCGAGCAGGUGCGAAAGCAGGUCAUAGUGAUCCGGUGGUUCUGAAUGGAAGGGCCAUCGCUCAACGGAUAAAAGGUACCCGGGGAUAACAGGCUGAUACCGCCCAAGAGUUCAUAUCGACGGCGGUGUUUGGCACCUCGAUGUCGGCUCAUCACAUCCUGGGGCUGAAGUAGGUCCCAAGGGUAUGGCUGUUCGCCAUUUAAAGUGGUACGCGAGCUGGGUUUAGAACGUCGUGAGACAGUUCGGUCCCUAUCUGCCGUGGGCGCUGGAGAAUUGAGGGGGGCUGCUCCUAGUACGAGAGGACCGGAGUGGACGCAUCACUGGUGUUCGGGUUGUCAUGCCAAUGGCACUGCCCGGUAGCUAAAUGCGGAAGAGAUAAGUGCUGAAAGCAUCUAAGCACGAAACUUGCCCCGAGAUGAGUUCUCCCUGAGACUUUAAGUCUCCUGAAGGAACGUUGAAGACGACGACGUUGAUAGGCCGGGUGUGUAAGCGCAGCGAUGCGUUGAGCUAACCGGUACUAAUGAACCGUGAGGCUUAACCUUACAACGCCGAAG